Molecule: long non-coding RNA, 2149 nt
Organism: Salvia miltiorrhiza (redroot sage)
Lineage: Eukaryota; Viridiplantae; Streptophyta; Magnoliopsida; Lamiales; Lamiaceae
Exons: 8
Source: RefSeq, a predicted model, not a curated record
UGCUGCAUGUGCGAUUUGACUUGUGUGUCUGCUACAUCACAUACAACAGUUGUUUUACAGCUUUAUUGCAUUUUCUCUUUUUCUCCCCCUCUAAUUCUCAUCGUCAUUUCCAAUCUCUUCAGAAAUUCUCUAAAAAAUCUCUCUCUCCUCCUUUCUUACCGAGAAGCUGUAUCAUGCCAAACAGAUACCGCCGUCCGCCGGCGACAGCAGCACCAGCACCAGCACCACCCUCUCCCUCCUCUUCCCCUUCGUUCUCUCACGUCAAACCUAGGUCAGCGUUGUUGGGCUCAAGAUCUAAAAUUUCUCUCAAUCUUCGUUCUCUCAUGUCAGUCAGCAGCUAUAACCCAGCGACUUCUUCCGCCGCUAGCCACCACCGCCACCCCCAUCAAAUUCUACAAAAAUCCCUAAAUUCUCUCAUUUUCUUGCUAGCAACUGCCUCCUGCCGGUGUCACCAUCGUUCGCCGGUGACAGCAGCAGCACCAUCGCGCUCUCCUUCCUCUCCUGUUUUGUCUCACAGCCGCGCUCAGCCAGACGCCGCCGUGUUGCCUCCGCCAUUUUGCUUGUGACCAAUUCUUUGAGGAAUUUUUAAACAUCUACUAAGCAAGUAGAUCUAUACAACAAGCUUUCAAUCAUGAGCAUACAGUGGUUGUUGAUCUUUGUUUGAUAUGCUGCACAGUUAGAAUGAAAAAAAAUGGGUUCGUUUGGUCUUCCUGCUUUUUUAUGUAUAGCUCAGUACAGAAAAAGAAUCUACAAGAUAAGAAUCAGAUCAAUAUAUACACUAUAUUUUGGUAUCAAUUUUCUUCAAACAUUUUCAUUUAAUUUGUUUUUAUUACUUUUUCUCAUAUAUUUUUUUCAGUUUUCACAGAAUCUGGGAUGAACUCGGAGAAGAACUGGAGAGAUCUCCGAAAAUCUGUUGAAAGGUAUCUGCUUCAAAUGAGGCUGUUUCUAGAAGUGUGAAGUCGGUGUUCAAAGCUCGGGUGCAGCAGCUUAACUCUUUAGAGUUUUGGGAUUUCCAAGCUCCAUUGAAGAAGUCAGUUGGGCCUCCGAGAAGAUCACCUCUAGAUGGGCUCGGUAACGGGAGGUCCUUCAGCCGGCUGUUAACGAUGGUGGGGAGGGCUGACCUGUAGUGGCGGUUGUAGCAUUAUCGUGUUCCAGCAGGAUCGCGGAUGGCAAAAGUUCCUCCCAAAAUUUCUCCCGCGCUUUUGGUGAAAAUCUUAAUGGGGAAGACGAUCACCCUAAAGGUGGAGUCGUCUAACACCAUAGACAACAUCAAGACUAAGAUCCAGGUAGAUCCGAUGAAGAACAAAAUACAGGUAAUAUAAUAUUUUUCUUCGCGUAUGUAUUUAUAAUAGUUGAUUUUCUGACUUUAAGCUAACCUUGGUAUACUUUUUCUUACAGUGACUUUAUAUGCUAUUAGAUCCGAUGAAGAACAAAUUCAUUAGAAAAAUUAUAGAUCCGAUGAAGAACAAAAAGUUCUUUUAGGAUUUUUCUUUUUUGUGAAAAUCAUAGAAAUUGUCGGCAUCUGCAUUUUCUUCUCUAUUUUUUCUGAUGAUACCUACUAUAUUUUGAAUUUUAUAUGCUAUCCGGAUCCGAGCAAAGAGCAAUUCUUACUGUGCCGACGAAGAGGCAAAGCUGAGAACAGAGAACAGGUGAAGGAGCAGAACUAAAAAUACACAAGGAUGGAGAACAGAGAGAACAAGUGAAAGAACAAAUUUUUCACUUUUAACUUCACAUUCUUCACUUUUGUUUUAACAGAGAUAACAUGUAAAUUUGAUUUUAACUUUACAUUUUUCACUUUUCUUCUUCUUUUUCCUUAAUAUGCAUUCAUUAGUGCGCUAACCUUUUGUUGUUGCUUGAUGGAAGUAGGUUCUGUGUGUGUGGUUCUUUAUAAUUGUGUACAUAAAAUUACAUAUAGGUAUCCCAUAUAAUGAAGUAAAACCUUUCAGUUAUAUGAGGGGAUGAGGGCGUUGGUGAGGUGUCUCAUUACUGCAAGUUAGCAUUUUUUAUAACCUUUUUGGCUUAAAAUUUCUUGAUAAUUUUGGGGUUUUCUUCAUUGAGGGAAUUGUGCUUUGUUUCUUACAAAUUCGUUGCUUUUAACAGAGUUUGGAGUAACAGCUAAUUUGUUUCACUCAGUAAAUUGUUUCAUGUU